Anguilla rostrata (American eel) is the source of this 2317-nucleotide long non-coding RNA. RefSeq lists it as uncharacterized. Lineage: Eukaryota; Metazoa; Chordata; Actinopteri; Anguilliformes; Anguillidae. The record is from RefSeq and is a predicted model, not a curated record. The transcript has 3 exons.
GUAGAAUAUAAGUGUAAGUAAAUAAACCUAUAUCAGUAGUUGCAGCUGAGCUUAUGGAAACGCAAGAAACCACAGUAUCAACUGUAGAGAAAAAGCAAGAGAACGCAGAAGGCUUAAAAAAUCACACUUACUCACUCAGCAGAGAACACUAAUCAAAUACUACUGCCAAUAACUACAGCAGAGAGCACUAAUCAUAAACUAAUCAUACACUACUGCCAAAAAAUACAGCAGAGAACAAUAAUCCAAAACUAACAAAACGCUACUGCCAAAUAAAUGUGCUAGAAGACUAAUAUUUUACAGUGACCCCUAUGUAACCUGAAUACAAUGGAAAAUUACAGGAGGCUGUGACUUGUAUUCUUAAUGGAAAAUUACAGAAUAAAGACUAAUAUUUUUUAAGGGAAAGUUGGGGUAACUUUCCACAAUGACGUUAUAACCCAAGAACAGGAAAUCAUUGUGGUGCCAAGAAGGUCAGGUAGACCCAAGAACAGGAAAUCAUUGUGGUGCCAAGAAGGACAGAUGGUAUUUUAAGGAAUGUGUUAGGGGGAGUUGUCGGGUGCACAGUGUAUAAAAUGAAUGUAAAACUGACAAUCGAGGUUCAAUACUGCAUAAUUGAUCCGGCUUUGUGCACCUGUGCAAAUAAAGUCAAACUUUUCUGAAGAGCUUGCUGCUGUGGUGUCUUUUCCCUCGUGAAGUUGUUUUCUACAAAUUAAAGAUUGGACUUUGAAUUCUGUCAGUUCCUAGACACGACAAUACACGGGCAACUUUUUUGGGCAAUAUUGCCAGCAAUAUUGCUGACAACGAUUGCCGGCAAUAUUUGCUAUUGAAAAGCGGCAACUAUCAUUAUCUGGGAACUUAGAUCGAUGGGGCAACACAGUAGGCAACUUUUCGGGAUCCUCCAAUCAGAAUACAGAUUUUAGUCAUGUGACUACUUCUCUCGGCUAAAUAAAAUCGACCAAGAUGGCGGCCAAUCUCGCCUGGAGCGAAUAAAUGGAGAGGCAACUGAUUUCAUGCUUUUCAGGUAAAUUGAAUCAUUAAAACGUGUUGUUCUCAUAUAUUGUGAAUAUACAUGUAUUGUUAAUUGUUUUUCAACAACUGUCAUCAAUUGUAUUCUCAGCUAUCUUUAUUUAUUAGCAUAAAUUACUACUAAAGUUUUUGUACGUUUCCAUGGUUACCAUGGGCUCCAUCAAUCAUAAAUGUAUGCAUAAUUUGGAUUAAAUUAUUUGACAGAAAUCUGUCAAAGUAACAGAACCUGGGUAAUUAAUAUGGUCCAAUAUUCAUAGCUAGCACAUUGAAUAAGCGUAGUAUUUACCUAAAAAAAAUCGAUGGUGGCUAGUAGCAAGCUAGCUAUCUAACGUUAGCUAGCGAGUACCUAACUUAGCUAGCUAAGUUAACUCGCUUGCUGGCUGUGUGCGUGUGCGUGCGUUGGUAACACCGGAUUAUGAGGACAUUUUGCCUGACUUUUCACCAGCAUUACAAGGACAGUUGGAGUUAUGAGGACAAAAUCGAUGUCCUCAUAAUUUGCGCAAUGUAGAUGCACUUAUGAGACUGCGACGAACAUCCUCCCGCCUUUUUUUGCUAUGUCCUUAUAUCUCAUGAAAACCGGAUUUUCAGUGUAUCUCAGUGUAUCCCAGUGUAUGCUCACUUUCCCUCUAUAGUUCGGGUGCCGAACUGCAGCUUCAUACACAUUUUCGGCGCCCAAUACACUAGUUCAGUGUCUCUGAUUGGCUAAGCAAUCCACCAUCACUAAUUGGCUGCAGUGGAUAUCAAUCAGAGAGUGGCAUCACUGAUUGGCUGCAGUGGAUGUCAAUCAGAAAGAGCGGCAUCAGUGAUUGGCUGAUGUUACCAUCUUCUACAUGCUGCUCACGUGACUGGAACAGGAAGAAGAAGCAUGACCUCAUGUUCCAGAAACUUCGCAAUGCUGUUUUAAUGAAGAGGACGUCUGGAAUCAUCUCAAAGUUCGUUUUGGACACAAAAUGCUGCAGACAUGUAAAAAUGAAGAAGACAGCUGAGUCCUGAACAAGAUGCUAUAGAUAAUAAUUGCCCGAAGAGAAAAGUCCUUGUCGGAAGAAAAUUCAUGAACCCCUUUAAAACAUAGAAGCUUCAAAAGAGGAUGGAUCACUCGGAAGACUUGUGAAUGAUCAUCACGUAAAUCCAAACUGCAACAUGAAGAAAAUAAUUGUGGAAGGAAAGCCACAUUUGUGCUUAUUUGCCAUUAAAACAAUAUCUCCAUGUGAGGACAUAACACAAUUAUGGGGAUUCCUCUUGGCCAUUGCAUUUAAAGAUAAAUUUGUAUACUGUCAAAGUCAGCAUGAUUUGG